This 390-nucleotide ribosomal RNA is filed under the name Chaetoceros sp. RNAcentral's name for it is "partial small subunit ribosomal RNA". It matches the Rfam family "Eukaryotic small subunit ribosomal RNA", at positions 582 to 975 of the family's 1831-position model. Lineage: Eukaryota; Bacillariophyta; Thalassiosirophyceae; Chaetocerotales; Chaetocerotaceae. The record is from RNAcentral.
AUUCCAGCUUCAGUAGCGUAUAUUAAAGUUGUUGCAGUUAAAAAGCUCGUAGUCGCAUUUCUGGCGAGAGGAAUUGGUCCGACAUUUAUUGUGGGUACUCGAUUCUCUCUCGCCAUCCUUGAGUGGUCCGUUCUGGCAUUUAGUUGUCGGAGCGUCAGCCGCUCAUCGUUUACUGUGAGAAAAUAGAGUGUUCAAAGCAGGCUUAUGCCGUUGAAUAUAUUAGCAUGGAAUAAUAAGAUAGGACCUCGGUGCUAUUUUGUUGGUUUGCGCACAGAGGUAAUGAUGAACAGGGACAGUUGGGGGUAUUUGUAUUUCGUUGUCAGAGGUGAAAUUCUUAGAUUUACGAAAGACAAACUACUGCGAAAGCAUUUACCAAGGAUGUUUUCAUUG